RNAcentral lists this ribosomal RNA (114 nucleotides) under Pogona vitticeps (central bearded dragon). Lineage: Eukaryota; Metazoa; Chordata; Lepidosauria; Squamata; Agamidae. The record is from RNAcentral.
UAUAGUACUACACUGAAAAUGCUUGAUCUCAUCUGAUUUCAGAAGCAAAGCAGAGUUUGGCCUUAUUGGUACUUGGGUGAGGAGAGCACUAGAUAAGGCCAAGGACUACUAUAC